Molecule: ribosomal RNA, 484 nt
Filed under: uncultured bacterium
Lineage: Bacteria
Description: partial 16S ribosomal RNA
Rfam family: Bacterial small subunit ribosomal RNA
Source: RNAcentral
AUUGAACGCUGGCGGCAUGCUUUACACAUGCAAGUCGAACGGCAGCGCGGGCUUCGGCCUGGCGGCGAGUGGCGAACGGGUGAGUAAUGCAUCGGAACGUGCCCAGUAGUGGGGGAUAGCCCGGCGAAAGCCGGAUUAAUACCGCAUACGACCUGAGGGUGAAAGCGGGGGACCGAAAGGCCUCGCGCUAUUGGAGCGGCCGAUGUCGGAUUAGCUAGUUGGUGGGGUAAAGGCUUACCAAGGCGACGAUCCGUAGCUGGUCUGAGAGGACGACCAGCCACACUGGGACUGAGACACGGCCCAGACUCCUACGGGAGGCAGCAGUGGGGAAUUUUGGACAAUGGGGGCAACCCUGAUCCAGCCAUGCCGCGUGCGGGAAGAAGGCCUUCGGGUUGUAAAACGCUUUUGUUCGGGAAGAAAUCCUGUGGGCUAAUACCCCGGGGGGAUGACGGUACCGGAAGAAUAAGCACCGGCUAACUACGUG